CCCUCCGGGGGGUGAGGAUUCCAGGCGGUGGCCAGCAUCCGCUCCCUCCCCUCCCACGCUCGCCCCGCGGACCUCGCCGCCAGCCCGUCGGAACCCUGAUGCUGCAACGGGAAAGUGCGGCCCUGCAGGAGCAGCUAAAGAUGUAACAGAAGAAUCUAUAACGGAAGAUGACAAGAGGAGAAACUAUGGAGGGGUAUAUGUAGGUCUACCAUCUGAAGCUGUCAAUAUGGUAUCCAAUCAAACAAAGACUGUACGAAAAAGUAA
Leptonychotes weddellii (Weddell seal) is the source of this 264-nucleotide non-coding RNA. The record is from RefSeq and is a predicted model, not a curated record. NCBI's taxonomy places the organism in Eukaryota, Metazoa, Chordata, Mammalia, Carnivora, Phocidae.